UACGUAGUGUGCAAGCGUUGUCCGGAAUUAUUGGGCGUAAAGAGCUCGUAGGCGGUUUGUUGCGUCGGCUGUGAAAUCCCGAGGCUCAACCUCGGGUCUGCAGUCGAUACGAGCAAACUAGAGUGUUGCAGGGGAGACUGGAAUUCCUGGUGUAGCGGUGAAAUGCGCAGAUAUCAGGAGGAACACCGGUGGCGAAGGCGGGUCUCUGGGCAACAACUGACGCUGAGGAGCGAAAGCGUGGGGAGCGAACAGG
Molecule: ribosomal RNA, 253 nt
Filed under: uncultured bacterium
Lineage: Bacteria
Description: partial 16S ribosomal RNA
Rfam family: Bacterial small subunit ribosomal RNA
Source: RNAcentral